AGUCGCGUGAGAGGAAGAAGGAUCUAUGGUUCGUAAACUUCUUUUGCAGGGGAAUAAAGUGCAGGACGUGUCCUGUUUUGUAUGUACCCUGAGAAUAAGGAUCGGCUAACUCCGUGCCAGCAGCCGCGGUAAUACGGAGGAUCCGAGCGUUAUCCGGAUUUAUUGGGUUUAAAGGGUGCGUAGGUGGUUUGAUAAGUCAGCGGUGAAAGUUUGCAGCUUAACUGUAAAAAUGCCGUUGAAACUGUCGGACUUGAGUGUAAAUGAGGUAGGCGGAAUGCGUGGUGUAGCGGUGAAAUGCAUAGAUAUCACGCAGAACUCCGAUUGCGAAGGCAGCUUACUAAGCUACAACUGACACUGAAGCACGAAAGCGUGGGGAUCAAACAGGAUUAGAUACCCUGGUAGUCCACGCAGUAAACGAUGAUUACUAGNUGUUUUGGAUCSCCCGCCGC
RNAcentral lists this ribosomal RNA (449 nucleotides) under uncultured bacterium. Its description in RNAcentral is "bacterial SSU rRNA". It matches the Rfam family "Bacterial small subunit ribosomal RNA", at positions 395 to 841 of the family's 1533-position model. The record is from RNAcentral.